ACAAAUUUUAAGAUGGCAGCCCAAGAGUCUAGCUUGUUUCCCUAAUUUUUCAUCAUCACUGCCAAAUUUGCCCCCAUGUAAAGAGGAUACCCUAAACGAGCAAUCAGUUUUCUUCUUUUGAAACCGUCGCAGUAUAUCCUAUGAGGAUUGAAAUCGUCGAUUGAAACAAUGAGAUCGGUUAUGGCAAUGAAAUCGUUAAUGGUUGGAGCAAUUAAUGGAAAUUGAUGAUUGAAUGGUGGGAGCUGAAGAGAUUCAAAGAAUUGAAUAUGUCCCUUCGUUUCCAGAACCGCACCUCUGUAUAAUCUGCGAUUCUCAUUUAGGAAGCCCAAUAUCGUCACCAUACCAGAUUUCUUGAAUUAUCCUAAGAGCCAUCGAUUUUGGAGCUUUCAAAUUGGCCUUCCAUUCUUUAAACCCAGAGCGGCUGCAAAACUUAGCGAUAAAUACCCUAAUAGGGAUUAAUCUCAUUCAGUUGUUAUGCCUGAUUUCCAUCAUAUAGGUUUGUGGUACAGUUCUUAUGCAGUUAUAGCACCCUACCAAUGUAUGCACUCGAUACGCAGAUGGGUACAAAUUACAAGGCUGAAUCAAUUCCCCAAAGAACUAGAGAUACAAUCCAUGGUUGGGGAAAAGAAGCCAGAAGAAGGAGAAAGCGGUUCACCUUCUCUGUAAACGGGUCAAAACAAAAGGGCUACGCUUUUUAACAUCAUCAUCAUGUUAAUUUAAGGAUUUGAACAAGGAACUAACCCAUAAACUCGAAGUUCAAACGCAAAGAUUAGAGUUGUUGAUAAUACUCCUUACGCCGAUGAAGGUGACGAGGUUGUGGAAAGAGUUCUAGGAUGGAUAAUAAAGGACCAUCAAAGCGGAAAACUAAGCAUCUAUGAGUCUAAACGAAAUGAGAAUAUUUUACUAAAAGUUCACAUGUAGUCCAGAUCUCUUUUCACUACCAUUAGAGGUGCAAUUUCAUCUCAUUGGGAAAUUUUGUGCAAAGACAGUGUUUCCAUGUUUAGUUAUGGAUGUGGGAAUGCAAAUAGAAUAUAUUGAGUUGAAGAGGACAUUGUAAAAUCAAUGUUUUUAUGGUUUUUCUUUCUUCAAUUAGAGGAAAAUGUUUUUAUGUG
Molecule: RNA transcript, 1112 nt
Organism: Helianthus annuus (common sunflower)
Lineage: Eukaryota; Viridiplantae; Streptophyta; Magnoliopsida; Asterales; Asteraceae
Gene name: MLO-like protein 11
Exons: 7
Source: RefSeq, a predicted model, not a curated record